Molecule: long non-coding RNA, 392 nt
Organism: Podarcis raffonei (Aeolian wall lizard)
Lineage: Eukaryota; Metazoa; Chordata; Lepidosauria; Squamata; Lacertidae
Exons: 2
Source: RefSeq, a predicted model, not a curated record
GGAACGGGGGCCGCAGGGUCAACAGAACCCACCACACCAGGCCAGCUGCCGGGCGCAUGUGCAUGAGGCGCAGAGGGUUCAUGGAGCCCUUUUCUAGGGUUGAUUCUAAAGAUGGACUUAACAGAAUUUGGCCCUUGGUGCCCAGGGCAGAGAAAGCUGAAACGUGCUCAUUAGAAAUGCCUUCAAAAUCGGACUUGAGGGAAUUGUGGGAGAGGCUUUACCCCCGCUCCCUCAGGACACAAGACUUUUAAUCUAUUUAUUUGGGUUCAAGUUUAUAACCUUACUUCCUCAGCCAAAUGUCCACUCAACGUUCGGCUUACAGUAUCUUAAAAUAAAGCAAGAUCGCAAAGAUUAAGUAUUACAAAACAGUAAAACCAACAACAGUAAAACAG